CUCAACCUUUGAAAUAUUAGCAGACUUUCCCAAAACCUUUGAUUUGUUGCAAUUGUCACCCAACCUUUCCAAACGUUGCGUGUGAAGCCCUUUUGGACGGUUUUCAUCCAAAAUUCUGUUAGUUGACCAAAAAAACUAUUUUGACCACAUUUUAACAAUUUUAGAGGGGGUAAAAUUGUAACUUUGCAUUAAAAUCAAAAAUCAAAAAAUAAAAGUGGUCUUCUUUUUCCUUAACCCACCCCACCCC
Molecule: long non-coding RNA, 247 nt
Filed under: Olea europaea subsp. europaea
Lineage: Eukaryota; Viridiplantae; Streptophyta; Magnoliopsida; Lamiales; Oleaceae
Source: RNAcentral